RNAcentral lists this transfer RNA (76 nucleotides) under Tissierellia bacterium. RNAcentral describes it as "tRNA-His". It matches the Rfam family "tRNA". From Rfam's summary of the family: Transfer RNA (tRNA) molecules are approximately 80 nucleotides in length. Their secondary structure includes four short double-helical elements and three loops (D, anti-codon, and T loops). RNAcentral also lists the same sequence under 1 other name. Lineage: Bacteria; Bacillati; Bacillota; Tissierellia. The record is from RNAcentral.
GUGGGUAUGGCCUAGUGGUUAGGGCGCCAGAUUGUGGCUCUGGAGAUCGUGGGUUCAAAUCCCAUUACCCACCCCA